This 73-nucleotide transfer RNA is filed under the name Otolemur garnettii (small-eared galago). It matches the Rfam family "tRNA". From Rfam's summary of the family: Transfer RNA (tRNA) molecules are approximately 80 nucleotides in length. Their secondary structure includes four short double-helical elements and three loops (D, anti-codon, and T loops). Lineage: Eukaryota; Metazoa; Chordata; Mammalia; Primates; Galagidae. The record is from Rfam by way of RNAcentral.
GCGCCUGUGGCUUAUGGAGUAGGGCACCGGCCUCAUAUGCCGGAGGUGGUGGGUUCAAACCCAGCCCUGGCCA